RNAcentral lists this ribosomal RNA (450 nucleotides) under uncultured bacterium. Its description in RNAcentral is "partial 16S ribosomal RNA". It matches the Rfam family "Bacterial small subunit ribosomal RNA", at positions 354 to 796 of the family's 1533-position model. The record is from RNAcentral.
GUGGGGAAUCUUCCGCAAUGGACGAAAGUCUGACGGAGCGACGCCGCGUGAGUGAAGAAGGCCUUCGGGUCGUAAAGCUCUGUCAUCAGGGACGAACGGCCGGUGGAGUGGAAAGCCACCGGAUUGACGGUACCUGAGAAGGAAGCCACGGCUAACUACGUGCCAGCAGCCGCGGUAAUACGUAGGUGGCGAGCGUUGUCCGGAAUUAUUGGGCGUAAAGCGCGCGCAGGUGGGAUCUUAAGUCUGUUCUGAAAGUUCGGAGCUUAACUCCGUGAUGGGAUGGAAACUGGGAUUCUUGAGUAUCGGAGAGGAAAGCGGAAUUCCCCGUGUAGCGGUGAAAUGCGUAGAUAUGGGGAGGAACACCAGUGGCGAAGGCGGCUUUCUGGACGAUGUCUGACACUGAGGCGCGAAAGCCAGGGGAGCGAACGGGAUUAGAUACCCCGGUAGUCC